Molecule: ribosomal RNA, 253 nt
Filed under: uncultured bacterium
Lineage: Bacteria
Description: partial 16S ribosomal RNA
Rfam family: Bacterial small subunit ribosomal RNA
Source: RNAcentral
UACGUAGGUGGCAAGCGUUGUCCGGAUUUACUGGGCGUAAAGAGCGCGCAGGCGGUCGUUCAAGUCGCGUGUGAAAGCCCCCGGCUCAACUGGGGAGGGUCACGCGAUACUGAUCGACUCGAAGGCAGGAGAGGGUAGUGGAAUUCCCGGUGUAGUGGUGAAAUGCGUAGAUAUCAGGAGGAACACCGGUGGCGAAGGCGGUUCUCUGGGCAUUACCUGACGCUGAGGCACGAAGGUCAGGGGAGCAAACGGG